RNAcentral lists this long non-coding RNA (842 nucleotides) under Equus caballus (horse). RNAcentral describes it as "lncRNA (ENSECAG00000051051.1)". The record is from RNAcentral. Lineage: Eukaryota; Metazoa; Chordata; Mammalia; Perissodactyla; Equidae.
GAGAUGAUAAGUACUAGUGCAGUGGGGACUGUCGUUUGUCUCAAUAACCCUCCUCAUAUAAGUUUUUCCAGAAAUUCUGACCAUCCGAAUCCUGGAGAAGUUGUGCCAUGAUGAUGCGAACUUAAUGUGAGAAGCAAGUGGGUCUGAGAAGGGUAAAUGGCGGAAAGAAGUAGACACAGAUCCUAUUUACUGGGCUAGUGCACCCAUCCCCCAGCUGCUGCGAGUGAUGACAGCUAACAGCCUACAGCAAUUUUCCUGAGAGUUGUCCCUGGCCAAAAGAAGCCUCCUCGUUUUGAAAUGCCUGUGACCUUAUGCCCUGUCCCCAGGGCCAGCCUGGAGACUGUGACUUAUUGAUUCAAGGUCUGGACCUCUACCUCAAGCUCUAUACCUAAUGGUGGUGAAAUUCAAUUGAUCAAAUUGUGCUGGUCUCAGGAGCUACUGUUGCUCACUCUGUGAUGAGAGGAAUAUCCCACAUACUCCUGCAGCGUAGAGGAAACCCUCUAGGGUAAUCUCCAGCCAAACUUUUAAGUCGCAAGUUAGUUCUGCCCACCUUUGAGAUUCAUAUUCCUUGGGAUUUUCUGUGUAAACAAUCAUGUCAUCUGCAAGAGGGAACAUUUUAUAUCUUCCUUUCUAAUCGCAAGAAGUUGUAAGGUGAUCAGUGCCAGAAUUGACCUGGGAUCCAUAGAAGAGAACCACAGCCUGCUUUCAGAGAAAGCUGCCUCCUGGGGCCAGCCACCUUUCCAAAGGGGUACGGAGAGGCAGCAUUCAGCAGAACCAGCCUUGCAGGGGGCUGUCACAACACAGCACAGAGAAGCACAUGCUUCAGAGGAAUACAACACGAU